RNAcentral lists this ribosomal RNA (698 nucleotides) under Rhabdias kafunata. RNAcentral's name for it is "12S ribosomal RNA". The record is from RNAcentral. Lineage: Eukaryota; Metazoa; Nematoda; Chromadorea; Rhabditida; Rhabdiasidae.
AGUUUUACGCUUAAAAAUUUUAAAUUUGAUCAUGGUUUAAGAUGAUUUAAAAUGAUAUUAUCUAAUUUUGAUUUAUUGAAUAGGCAAUGAAAUUCAACCUUGGCAAAUUAUCGUUUGUAUAAUUAAUGUUCCAGAAUAAUCGGCUAUACGUUUUAAACUUGUACUUUAAUUGAUGUUUAUUACAAAUUUUUUUAUAGAACUUUAAAAAUUAUAAGGUAGAAUUAGAAUUUUUUGUAUAGUUGUUGUUUGUAAUUUUAAAUUUUGAUUGAACGAACUAGAGUAGAACCUAGUUAGACAAAUAUUAAAAGAGCAGAAGUAAAGUUGUAUUUAAACUGAAAGGAUAUUGGCAGGUUUUUUAAAUUAUCUUUGGAGGCUGAGUAGUAAUUGAGAACCCUCAUUGGCUGCUUUAUUUAUUUUCGCAUGUAUGAUCGUUUAUUUAAAUCUUAAAGGUAGUAAUUAAAGAUUAAAUUUUCUAUAAAAACAGAUAAAUACCUGGUAUAUGAUUAAAGUAAGAUUUGGCCUACAUUAUUUUAUAAUGUGGAUAAUAUUAUUGGCAUAAUAUUUGAAAAUGUAAAAGACAGUAAAAAAUUUUUAAUGUAUUUUUGAAGAUUAUCUAAGGACGGUACAAAUCAUCCAUCAAUUGCCCCCAGGGGAGUAAGUUGUAGUAAAGUAGAUUAAGGGGAACCUUAAUCUAGUAA